This 578-nucleotide ribosomal RNA is filed under the name uncultured bacterium. Its description in RNAcentral is "bacterial SSU rRNA". It matches the Rfam family "Bacterial small subunit ribosomal RNA", at positions 347 to 917 of the family's 1533-position model. The record is from RNAcentral.
GGCAGCAGUAGGGAAUCUUCGGCAAUGGACGGAAGUCUGACCGAGCAACGCCGCGUGAGUGAAGAAGGUUUUCGGAUCGUAAAGCUCUGUUGUAAGAGAAGAACGAGUGUGAGAGUGGAAAGUUCACACUGUGACGGUAUCUUACCAGAAAGGGACGGCUAACUACGUGCCAGCAGCCGCGGUAAUACGUAGGUCCCGAGCGUUGUCCGGAUUUAUUGGGCGUAAAGCGAGCGCAGGCGGUUAGAUAAGUCUGAAGUUAAAGGCUGUGGCUUAACCAUAGUACGCUUUGGAAACUGUUUAACUUGAGUGCAAGAGGGGAGAGUGGAAUUCCAUGUGUAGCGGUGAAAUGCGUAGAUAUAUGGAGGAACACCGGUGGCGAAAGCGGCUCUCUGGCUUGUAACUGACGCUGAGGCUCGAAAGCGUGGGGAGCAAACAGGAUUAGAUACCCUGGUAGUCCACGCCGUAAACGAUGAGUGCUAGGUGUUAGACCCUUUCCGGGGUUUAGUGCCGCAGCUAACGCAUUAAGCACUCCGCCUGGGGAGUACGACCGCAAGGUGAAACUCAAAGGAAUUGACGGC